This 252-nucleotide ribosomal RNA is filed under the name uncultured bacterium. RNAcentral describes it as "partial 16S ribosomal RNA". It matches the Rfam family "Bacterial small subunit ribosomal RNA", at positions 525 to 776 of the family's 1533-position model. The record is from RNAcentral.
ACGUAGGGUGCGAGCGUUGUCCGGAAUUAUUGGGCGUAAAGAGCUUGUAGGCGGUUUGUCGCGUCUGCCGUGAAAAUCCGAGGCUCAACCUCGGACUUGCGGUGGGUACGGGCAGACUAGAGUGGGGUAGGGGAGACUGGAAUUCCUGGUGUAGCGGUGAAAUGCGCAGAUAUCAGGAGGAACACCGAUGGCGAAGGCAGGUCUCUGGGCCACUACUGACGCUGAGAAGCGAAAGCAUGGGGAGCGAACAGG